GGGGAAUAUUGCACAAUGGGGGAAACCCUGAUGCAGCCAUGCCGCGUGUGUGAAGAAGGCCUUCGGGUUGUAAAGCACUUUCAGUCAGGAGGAAAGGUGGCUAGCUAAUACCUAGUUGCUGUGACGUUACUGACAGAAGAAGCACCGGCUAACUCCGUGCCAGCAGCCGCGGUAAUACGGAGGGUGCAAGCGUUAAUCGGAAUUACUGGGCGUAAAGCGCACGCAGGCGGCUUGUUAAGUCAGAUGUGAAAGCCCCGGGCUCAACCUGGGAACUGCAUUUGAAACUGACAAGCUAGAGUCUUGUAGAGGGGGGUAGAAUUCCAGGUGUAGCGGUGAAAUGCGUAGAGAUCUGGAGGAAUACCGGUGGCGAAGGCGGCCCCCUGGACAGAGACUGACGCUCAGGUGCGAAAGCGUGGGGAGCAAAC
RNAcentral lists this ribosomal RNA (425 nucleotides) under uncultured bacterium. Its description in RNAcentral is "bacterial SSU rRNA". It matches the Rfam family "Bacterial small subunit ribosomal RNA", at positions 356 to 773 of the family's 1533-position model. The record is from RNAcentral.